GCUUGGUUUCAGAUCGCCCCCUCGGAUAUUUGGGUGAAAUUGCUCCUAGAACUGGAAGCGUGGACUUGUUAGUUCACCCUAUUCCGCAGAAACCUUCUUGUGCGCUAGUGGACAGAUCAUUUGGCGCUCCUAGACACAGAGUGCUAGAUAGCCUUCAACGUGCUCUAAAUCAGGCUGAGAAUGAUUUCCUGUACAUGGUUGAGCAAGAAAUGGAGGACCGCCCUGAUAUUGUAUCAAUUGGAUCUUGUGUUUUGGUUGUGCUUCUACAUGGUAAGGACUUGUACACACUCAAUUUAGGUGAUAGUCGAGCCGUAUUGGCAACAUAUGGUGCUGGCAUGAAUGGGAACAAGGUCCUGCAAGCUAUACAGCUUACUGAUAGUCAUACGGUUGACAAUGAAAUUGAAAAAUCUCAACUUCUAAAUAAUCAUCCCGAUGACCCCGNNNNNNNNNNNNNNNNNNNNNNNNNNNNNNNNNNNNNNNNNNNNNNNNNNNNNNNNNNNNNNNNNNNNNNNNNNNNNNNNNNNNNNNNNNNNNNNNNNNNUUUUUAUUGCUUCAGUUGUUACUCAUGUGAUAUCAUCAUGAUGGGAAUUUCAUGCCAUUUGUUGUGAUGCUUCUGUUGACCUUUUGAUAAUUAUAUGAUUAUUUCAUGGCUCACAAAUUUUCUGGUAUCCUUGUAUUUUAUAUGUUAGUAUUAGCAUGAAAAACUAAAUUCACUCAUUAUUCUUGUCAAGACUGAUAAAAGAGUGCAUAAAUCAGUCAUUAGGAAUGGAAUUUUUUUCUUUCCUAAGACUUAUAACAGUGAGAGCAGGAAAAAAGAAUGUAACUUCGAAUGAAGGAUUAAGAAGAGAGCAAGUUAAAAAGAGACACCUAUGAAACUUAAUAUGUUGUUGAAGGAAUGACCUGAAUGAAGUAUAGAGGUUCUUAUAAACAAUCUAGCCAACUUAAGCAAGGCCAUAUUCAUGCUCACAACCAUAAAAAGUUGGAUGAAGUUUCCACAAUCCUAAAUUUUAGAGUUAGCCAGGAGGUUUUUGAAUGUUCAGACACAAUUUAAGAUUUUGCAUGUCGAAACCUACAUAAGUUUAACCUUAGUGUUCUCCAUUAUAAUUCCCAAGUUUCCCAUUGGUUAUUUCAUAACUAGGAAACAAGUCAAAAGCAUGAUAGAUUAACCUUACAGUAGGCCUACCUACCUGUACCAUAAUAACAGUUACAUCCUACUUGUAUCACUCCAAGUCUUAAGAACUUACUGAAAGUGGUAUCAUUCUUUCAGAGUUACAACCAAAACUCUUGAAUUUAUAUCAGAAAUAUCAUUCCCUCCAUAAACUUGUUUACCUCACUUAGAUAUAGGUAAUGGAUUCAACUCUAAAUAGCUGCUACAUAUGGUGCUUUGUUUGGAAUUUCAUACUUCAAAUAAUCUUAAUUAUUUUGUUGAUUAUUGGUGUUCCUCCAGUAGUUAAUUUUCUGAUUCCUGGCGUUCCCUUGAUUUUUAUGUCAAAUUAUUUCCACUAAUUGUAUUUGGUACAUUUAUGCAAUAGUGCAAGUAAUGGUUUCCAUCUUGCAAGGAAAUAACAGUAGCAUUUUUGUAUAGUUUCAGUUAUAGAUGAUGCGUAAUGAAACAAGUCUUGAUCCAGAUGGAGAAAUCAAAGUAAGUUUUGGCUAUCAAUGCAAUGAAAGGAAGGAAAUUUCUUGUGAUAUGUCUGAUGGAUUUGAAACACCAUCUGGAAUUAAACUCCGAAGAACCAAUAGUUCCUUCUCUUGCUUCUCUGGCGCUGCUUUAAGUGCCAAUGCUACGUUGGCCAACACAAAUAUCUGCAAUGGCUUAAUUGGCGCUGAAAUUCUCCCAACUUGGGACUCUCCCACUUCAUUUCGGAGGAUUCCCUCUUCUCCCUCAAUAUCAAAGUUGGAUUUAUUAUCUUAUUCUCUCCAAAGUAGUUUUUUGAACUUAAGUUGUAGUCCAUCUACUCCAAGUGAGACAGCUGAAUCUGAUUCUUUCUCACUGAAAUCCAUGAGUGCUCCUUCAAGAAGUGAAGGGUUUCUUAAUGCUAUGGAAGUCCAAGUGGCAGGUGGGGCUGCCGGUGAAGAUCGCAUCCAAGCUGUUUGUUCUGAAGAAAAUGGGUGGCUAUUUUGUGCAAUCUAUGAUGGUUUCAAUGGUAGAGAUGCAGCUGAUUUUCUGGCUGGAACAUUAUAUGAAACUAUCGGGGUCUACUUGAAUUCUUUAGAAUGGGAACUUGAAUCCAACAAAGCAUCUGAUUGCUUGGUUUCAGAUCGCCCCCUCGGAUAUUUGGGUGAAAUUGCUCCUAGAACUGGAAGCGUGGACUUGUUAGUUCACCCUAUUCCGCAGAAACCUUCUUGUGCGCUAGUGGACAGAUCAUUUGGCGCACCUAGACACAGAGUGCUAGAUAGCCUUCAACGUGCUCUAAAUCAGGCUGAGAAUGAUUUCCUGUACAUGGUUGAGCAAGAAAUGGAGGACCGCCCUGAUA
This 2477-nucleotide long non-coding RNA is filed under the name Panax ginseng (ginseng). RNAcentral describes it as "long non-coding RNA (PGIN_LNC010431)". Lineage: Eukaryota; Viridiplantae; Streptophyta; Magnoliopsida; Apiales; Araliaceae. The record is from RNAcentral.